RNAcentral lists this unclassified non-coding RNA (390 nucleotides) under soil metagenome. Its description in RNAcentral is "partial contains 5.8S ribosomal RNA, internal transcribed spacer 2, and large subunit ribosomal RNA". The stretch from base 1 to 122 matches the Rfam family "5.8S ribosomal RNA", at positions 35 to 154 of the family's 154-position model. The record is from RNAcentral.
GAUGAAGAACGUAGCGAAAUGCGAUACUUGGUGUGAAUUGCAGAAUCCCGUGAACCAUCGAGUCUUUGAACGCAAGUUGCGCCCGAAGCCAUUAGGCCGAGGGCACGCCUGCCUGGGUGUCACACGUCGUUGCCCCCCCAUCUACUCCUUCGGGAUUGCGGGGGGCGGAUGAUGGCCUCUCGUGCGCCUCGUCGCGCGGUUGGCCUAAAUGCCAAGUCCUCGGCGACGCACGCCACGACAAUCGGUGGUUGCGAAACCUCGGUUGCCUGUCGUGUGCGGUCGUCGCGCAUCGAGGGCUCGAAAAAAUUGCCGGGCUUCGGCUCGACUUUCAACGCGACCCCAGGUCAGGCGGGGUUACCCGCUGAAUUUAAGCAUAUAAUAAGCGGAGGA